Non-coding RNA from Caenorhabditis elegans, 21 nucleotides. Lineage: Eukaryota; Metazoa; Nematoda; Chromadorea; Rhabditida; Rhabditidae. The record is from Ensembl.
UAUUGUAUCGAAUGAAAUUUG